GCACGGAGAGCGAGGGGGACCGAGGCUGCCGUGCCGAAGGGGGUGAGCCGGAGCUGCGGAGACGGGGAAGCACCCGCGAGGCCAUGAAGGAAGAACCUGACGGGGCAUCCGACAGCGGCGGGCCCACGGAGGAGCUGCAGCUUACUCUGACGUCCAAAGCGGCAGCAGAAGCGCUGCCCAGGCCCUGGGCUUUCCUGCCGCAGCGCUACUGGCUUCUCCUGUGGCUGCUUUUCCUGGGGAUCACCUGCCUCGCGCUGAUGUGGAUUUUGGAGCUGCAGAAGCAGCAGCCACCCGCAAGCCCCAAGUGGUAGGGAGGAGGAGGAAGCCUGGAGAGGGGCAGCCUGGUAGCACCCACUUACUUUUGGAAAUGAAAUAAAAUA
This is a non-coding RNA of Pelodiscus sinensis (Chinese soft-shelled turtle), 380 nucleotides long. Lineage: Eukaryota; Metazoa; Chordata; Testudines; Trionychidae. The record is from RefSeq and is a predicted model, not a curated record.